This 424-nucleotide ribosomal RNA is filed under the name uncultured Bacteroidales bacterium. Its description in RNAcentral is "bacterial SSU rRNA". It matches the Rfam family "Bacterial small subunit ribosomal RNA", at positions 355 to 776 of the family's 1533-position model. The record is from RNAcentral. Lineage: Bacteria; Pseudomonadati; Bacteroidota; Bacteroidia; Bacteroidales.
UGAGGAAUAUUGGUCAAUGGGCGGAAGCCUGAACCAGCCAUCCCGCGUGCAGGAAGACGGCCCUAUGGGUUGUAAACUGCUUUUCCAGGGGGUGAAUUUCUCGGUCGUGACCGGGAUUGACGGUACCCUGGGAAUAAGCAUCGGCUAACUCCGUGCCAGCAGCCGCGGUAAUACGGAGGAUGCGAGCGUUAUCCGGAUUUAUUGGGUUUAAAGGGUGCGUAGGCGGGCCAAUAAGUCAGUGGUGAAAACCUGCAGCUUAACUGUAGACUUGCCGUUGAUACUGUUGGUCUUGAGUAUGGUCAAGGUAGGCGGAAUGUGUAAUGUAGCGGUGAAAUGCUUAGAUAUUACACAGAACACCGAUUGCGAAGGCAGCUUGCUGGGCCAUUACUGACGCUGAUGCACGAAAGCGUGGGGAUCAAACAGG